Long non-coding RNA from Wyeomyia smithii (pitcher-plant mosquito), 1002 nucleotides. RefSeq lists it as uncharacterized. The transcript has 3 exons. The record is from RefSeq and is a predicted model, not a curated record. NCBI's taxonomy places the organism in Eukaryota, Metazoa, Arthropoda, Insecta, Diptera, Culicidae.
GUUGGGAACUGGUGACAUAUUUUGAAAAAUGCCGUAAUGAACAAUGUCAACAAUACACCAUACCGCAGUGUGGCUAAAUAAAAAACCAAGCUAAACGAACUCUGGAAUUUGCAGUCAACCCCCUACCUGAGCAUAAAACAAAGCACAAACAUUGUUGUGCUCCAUCAUGAAUCAAAGCAGUGAGUUUUCCUCUAAUAAAAAAGCACUCAAUCAAAACCCGCGCUUCCGUAUUAGCAUGCAGUGAGCUUAUCGCACGGAAGCAUAACGGUAAAAGCGAUACCGCUCUUGCACUCCAGACAACGAAUGGAUUCGCUGUCUAUUGUGCUCGGUUUUUCUGCAACACACAUACUUUCACGGACCUUCACUACCGUUCUAAGCAUAGUUGUCCCAUGUUCUACACAAACCUUAAGUACGCUGGGACAAUUUUGCUUGGAACGGCAGUACAAUAGCGAUGGAGAAUAAAUUACCGUUCCGAACUGCCCUAGGGACUGCACAAAAGAGUAGAAAAUGCGUUUCAAGUAAUCGCUCGAGUGCUCGCGUGUACAGUACGUGUAUAACAGCAUAAAAACUUCCACACCGGUACCGUAACUCUACGGGCCAGCAAUUUUACAUUGCUCAAUUCGUCGUCCCGUGUUUAAUGUUGUGUCCGGUUCCGUAUGGCGAAAUGGUCGAGGUUAAAAAUGAUCAAACUAAAGCAACAAAGAACAUUUGUUACCAAUCUUAAGACCCCUACUAGAAGCUGAUCCCAGAAAAAUUGAACAACGCGGCACGAGAGUAGAAAUCGUGACCCAUUUCUGACAGCAUCACAUGUUAAAAAAAAACUUAAAAAAAAAAGAAAUUAAUAAUGUACUUCACGUACACGCUUUCCGUGCUGAGAAAAGUCUGGUAGGCUUACCUUCCUGAAGCCUAUCAAAGCAAGACGUCACACGGUUCACCGCAUGUUUACGCCGAAAUGUUCCCUCAAGCUAACACCAUACGCCAAACUAAAUUUUAUGCUCCACU